UCACUGUCUGUGUUCUGGUCUGCCCUGGUGUUCUGGUCUGGUCUCACUGUCUCCUGUGACAGAGACUCAGUCAGACGAGGACUCUCCUCCCUGUGAAACUAAAGCCAGCUGAAUGAGCUGUGUUCCAGUAAAGCUCCACCUCUUCCUGUACACAGAUCUACACUGAGGACAGCACGUGAUGAUCAGAGCAGAGAGCAGGCGGACGGCCAGAGAGACGGUCUACCUGGACAUGGAUCACCUGUUGCUGCUGCUGCUGCUGCUGCUGUGGAGCUCAGGACUCCAGGCUGAAGGACGACACACCUCAACAGAGCCUGUCAGGUUGGUGGGAGGAGCCAGUCGCUGUGCAGGAACACUGGAGCUGAAACAU
Micropterus salmoides (largemouth bass) is the source of this 367-nucleotide long non-coding RNA. RefSeq lists it as uncharacterized. The transcript has 3 exons. Lineage: Eukaryota; Metazoa; Chordata; Actinopteri; Centrarchiformes; Centrarchidae. The record is from RefSeq and is a predicted model, not a curated record.